Long non-coding RNA from Lineus longissimus, 2435 nucleotides. RefSeq lists it as uncharacterized. Lineage: Eukaryota; Metazoa; Nemertea; Pilidiophora; Heteronemertea; Lineidae. The transcript has 3 exons. The record is from RefSeq and is a predicted model, not a curated record.
CCAUUCAUAAGCUAAGCAGGGGACAAGGUAUGGCCCAUUAAAGAACUGCACUAUAAUGAGGCGUUAUCAUCCAGGUCCACACCAUGGAGGAGUUGGGGAUGUCGACUGAAUGAUACAAUGUUUCCUUGUCUCAACAUUCCAGCAAGACUUCCUGAUACUUGUUGAAAGGCAGUGAAUGAAUAAUCGAAUGAGCGCCAAAGGGAAUGAAUAAAUGAAGAUCAAGGAAUGGACAGUUCAUUCAGGCAUCUCAAGGCCAAGAAUCCAUCUCCUCAUAUCCUGAGAAAAUCAGCAUUUGAGCCAUGUGGCGGUUACAUACCUCAUCACCAGAGGGUCCAAGCAUCCCAGACACAAAGGCAAUCAAUAACCUUGGAGACAACUAGAUCAACAACAUGUAAGAUCUCGAGGUCUCCGAGUCUUCACUCAAAUGCUUUGAAGGUUGUGAGGGCAUCAUGCAGAAGGACCCCAAGAACCCUUUACUCAGAUGCUUUGGAGAUGUUCAUCAUGACGGCUUAAACUGGAUCGGAAGAAGAGCCCACGACAUAUUGACAUAGGAGCAUACGACUGAUCCCAAUUAGUCAAGUUUCCGGGAGAAGACAAUACAUACCCUGUCGGUUGGGUUGAGUAUCCCCUUAACGGCUAAUGCCGCCAUUGCAGGAAGUCAACAUCACGGCCUCACCACCCCACGGGCAGACCAUAAUGAGCAAGAAGAUCAACCCUGACCUUAUGGUGCAAUUGGAUCAACCGAACAUUCGUCUCCGAGGAUACAAAGCCGCCAUCAUGCCUGUGAGUGGUCACCAUGGUAACCAUCUACAGCCACUAGAUCCGGCCAGGACCAUUAACUACACUUUAAAAUCAUGUCUGUCAUAAGCAGACUAAUUGGCCAAAUGAUCAUGGAGAAGAAGAUCUUCGAUUUAUGUCUUAUUACUAGGAAUAGGUGUAUGAUUUUACAUGGUUCGAAAAUCAUCAUCCAAUCUUAUCAGAAUGUUGGUCUCUUCUCUCUUGCUCACUGAAAAUCAUCAAGUACAUGAAGUGUGUUUUUAUGAUCAAUCAAUCAUUUCCAAUAGGACAUUUAUAAAUAUGGAACUUAUUAUGCCAGUGCAAAUAUAAUAGCGGUUUGAUGGUUCUGAUCUCAUUUCUGUGAUAUAGUCACAAUUAUGACAUACCUGAAUCAAUUCAAGGGAGCAGAAUAAUCAGAUUUACUGUAAAAUCAUUUUCUAGAUCCCAGGAUCUGUCAGGAUAAGCACUGACAACCACUUUGAAGCCUAUUUGUCUCCCGACUAUCGUUACAUGAACAGACAUGGAUUCAGCCCAUGUUUUGCAGGAGAAGGGUUUAUUUCAGACCAGCUGCCACACACAACUUGGGGGCAUAUCAGAGAAUAAAUGGAUGUCUCCUUCGCCCUCAAGGGUAAAAUCUGAGGGAAAGCAAUAAAGGAAACAAUGCAAUCAUAAGCCGAGGUAGCCUAGGGGAAGAAUGAGCUGAUGGAUGGGCCUGCAUGUACCUAGUGUUAUAGGUUGGUUACACAAGUAUUAUAAGCCCAUGCAGAUUAUGGAAUAGCUACUUACUCACUGCACUAAUAGUUACUCUGCCAAUAGCAAUUAGCACCAGAUACACUGGCUGUCUUCAGGAAUGAACAUGCAGGCCAUAGACAGUGUUACCAACAGUAACUGGUAAAACAGAACUCUGAUUGGUACAUAAGCAAUCAAUAGCAAGCAAUAAACCCUACCAAAAACAUGUUGUUUUUUGUCUACCAAAAUAAAGUUCUAGCAGGGAUGGGUCUAAACUCAGAAACAAAGUUGGAAUGCCUUAAAAUACCCUACUGACUGGCAGUGGAGAUGAUCAGUAACCGUCUCCAGACAGCAUUCGGUGCAGAAGCCAAAAGUACAGAACAAAACAUCACUGUUGAUGACGGGCCAACAUUUCCUAUGUUUAGAGAUGGCAAAGUUGGCGGAGAGAGAUUUUACCUAAAAAGCGACAUGGAUGCCUAAUGAUCAUAUAUGCAGUUUAUUACAGGCAGUAUUCAGCUCCCUAUAUCUGCAGAUCCGCUUUGAGCAGGACUGUGGACCUCAUCAGACUAGACUAGUUGAUCAGUUGGUUUUAAAAGAUGAAGUGCAAUCUUUUUUUAUGAACCUGGGGAGAAUCAGGUUAAUCCCCAGCUACGAAAUACUUAUACUACCCUAAAGCUUGGUGCUCAUUAUAAGGAUGUGCAGGCGAUAGGUUCGUUGAAUACUGCCUCUCAUAUCCUGCAGCCAGCUGUUUCUAUCUCAAUCUUGAAAUUUUGACCCAGAGUAUACAGACAUCGACUAUCCAUCCUUAUUUUAUUCUUGAGAGUAAUUGAAUUGAGAGAUAUGCACAACCAGACUUGUAUUUAUUACAUAAGCAGACCUCCGUGAUGAUCGAUGACCUAAGUACAAACAACAUGAAAUAUUGUAUCUCA